CAAUUCCUACGGGGGGCAGCAGUGGGGGAUAUUGCACAAUGGGGGGAACCCUGAUGCAGCGACGCCGCGUGGGUGAAGGAGUGCUUCGGCAUGUAAAGCCCUAUCGGCAGGGAAGAAGCAAGACGGUACCUGACUAAGAAGCCCCGGCUAACUACGUGCCAGCAGCCGCGGUAAUACGUAGGGGGCGAGCGUUAUCCGGAUUCACUGGGUGUAAAGGGAGCGUAGACGGCCAUGCAAGCCAGGGGUGAAAGCCCGGGGCCCAAACCCGGGACUGCCCUUGGAAAGGCAUGGGUGGAGUGCGGGGG
This 305-nucleotide ribosomal RNA is filed under the name uncultured bacterium. RNAcentral describes it as "partial 16S ribosomal RNA". It matches the Rfam family "Bacterial small subunit ribosomal RNA", at positions 333 to 654 of the family's 1533-position model. The record is from RNAcentral.